Molecule: transfer RNA, 115 nt
Filed under: Talaromyces islandicus
Lineage: Eukaryota; Fungi; Ascomycota; Eurotiomycetes; Eurotiales; Trichocomaceae
Description: Penicillium islandicum tRNA
Rfam family: tRNA
About the family: Transfer RNA (tRNA) molecules are approximately 80 nucleotides in length.
Source: Rfam by way of RNAcentral
GUCUCCAUGGCUCAGCUGGUUAGAGCGCCGGUCUCAUAUCUUUCAAUAUGAGCAAUUGGUUCCUAAACAAUUGCAUUCAAUCCGGAGAUCGCGAGUUCGAACCUCGCUGGGGACA